This is a long non-coding RNA of Gopherus evgoodei (Goodes thornscrub tortoise), 91 nucleotides long. RefSeq lists it as uncharacterized. The record is from RefSeq and is a predicted model, not a curated record. The transcript is spliced from 3 exons. Lineage: Eukaryota; Metazoa; Chordata; Testudines; Testudinidae.
CAUAAGAACAUAAGAACGGCCAUACUGGGUCAGACCAUGGAACAUCUUGCCCAAUAUCCUGUCUCUGACAGUGGCCCAUACCAGAGCUUCA